CGUUCGGUUCUCCGUUCGUCGUUACUUUUCGUCUUAGGGCCUGGCGUCUUUCGUCUUAGAACCUUACUCCUUCUGAAUCAUGUCUCACAUCCCGGACGGGCCCCCAGAUUGUAGGAUCUAUUUAUUUGAGACAAGAUACAGAAGAUACAGAAAGGAAAAUUUCAAAAAAAAAAAGAAUAAACAAGUCAGGGUGACUGCACUGCACCUGCAGGACCUUUCGAAAUGCUGCCUCCUCCCUCUUCUUCUCUCCUGCGUCUCCUCUCCCCGACUACUUGGGUGUGUCACCCCCUACGUCACUCGUUCCCACUUUAGUGUCCGCUAUACGUCCCACAUAUAUUUAUUUAUACCGUGAUUUUUUCUUGAAACCGGUCUGAUUUUUAGCAUCCAGCCAAUUCUGAUACAUAUAUCACGUCAGGAAUC
Molecule: long non-coding RNA, 420 nt
Filed under: Androctonus crassicauda
Lineage: Eukaryota; Metazoa; Arthropoda; Arachnida; Scorpiones; Buthidae
Source: RNAcentral